GAUGAACGCUGGCGGCGUGCCUAACACAUGCAAGUCGAACGAAGCGCUUCCGCUAGAUUUUCUUCGGAGAUGAAGGCGGCUGCGACUGAGUGGCGGACGGGUGAGUAACGCGUGGGCAACCUGCCUUGCACUGGGGGAUAACAGCCAGAAAUGGCUGCUAAUACCGCAUAAGACCGAAGCGCCGCAUGGCGCAGCGGCCAAAGCCCCGGCGGUGCAAGAUGGGCCCGCGUCUGAUUAGGUAGUUGGCGGGGUAACGGCCCACCAAGCCGACGAUCAGUAGCCGACCUGAGAGGGUGACCGGCCACAUUGGGACUGAGACACGGCCCAGACUCCUACGGGAGGCAGCAGUGGGGAAUAUUGCACAAUGGGGGAAACCCUGAUGCAGCGACGCCGCGUGAAGGAUGAAGUAUUUCGGUAUGUAAACUUCUAUCAGCAGGGAAGAAGAUGACGGUACCUGACUAAGAAGCCC
This 469-nucleotide ribosomal RNA is filed under the name uncultured bacterium. Its description in RNAcentral is "bacterial SSU rRNA". It matches the Rfam family "Bacterial small subunit ribosomal RNA", at positions 28 to 493 of the family's 1533-position model. The record is from RNAcentral.